CGGGGGUGGUCGACGGGACGGGAGCGGCCUUCGGAGUCGCUGCGGCGUCCCCCUCGGCGUCGUCGGUCGCCGCGGUGUCGUCCGU
This 85-nucleotide transfer RNA is filed under the name Microbispora amethystogenes. RNAcentral's name for it is "tRNA-Arg". The record is from RNAcentral. Lineage: Bacteria; Bacillati; Actinomycetota; Actinomycetes; Streptosporangiales; Streptosporangiaceae.